AGUCGAACGGUAGUUGUGUUAGAAAACUAGAAACUAGAUACAAAGCGAGCGGCGGACGGGUGAGUAACACGUGGGUAACCUGCCCCAAGAGACUGGGAUAACACCUGGAAACAGAUGCUAAUACCGGAUAACAACACUAGACGCAUGUCUAGAGUUUGAAAGAUGGUUCUGCUAUCACUCUUGGAUGGACCUGCGGUGCAUUAGCUAGUUGGUAAGGUAACGGCUUACCAAGGCAAUGAUGCAUAGCCGAGUUGAGAGACUGAUCGGCCACAUUGGGACUGAGACACGGCCCAAACUCCUACGGGAGGCAGCAGUAGGGAAUCUUCCACAAUGGACGAAAGUCUGAUGGAGCAACGCCGCGUGAGUGAAGAAGGGUUUCGGCUCGUAAAGCUCUGUUGGUAGUGAAGAAAGAUAGAGGUAGUAACUGGCCUUUAUUUGACGGUAAUUACUUAGAAAGUCACGGCUAACUACGUGCCAGCAGCCGCGGUAA
Molecule: ribosomal RNA, 490 nt
Filed under: uncultured bacterium
Lineage: Bacteria
Description: bacterial SSU rRNA
Rfam family: Bacterial small subunit ribosomal RNA
Source: RNAcentral